UACAGAGGGUGCAAGCGUUGUUCGGAAUUACUGGGCGUAAAGCGCGUGUAGGUGGCGAUGUAAGUCGGGUGUGAAAUCCCUCAGCUUAACUGAGGAAGUGCACUCGAUACUGUGUCGCUUGAGUGUUGGAGGGGAUGGCGGAAUUCCCGGUGUAGAGGUGAAAUUCGUAGAUAUCGGGAGAAACACCUGUGGCGAAGGCGGCCAUCUGGACAACUACUGACACUGAGACGCGAAAGCGUGGGUAGCAAACAGG
RNAcentral lists this ribosomal RNA (253 nucleotides) under uncultured bacterium. Its description in RNAcentral is "partial 16S ribosomal RNA". It matches the Rfam family "Bacterial small subunit ribosomal RNA", at positions 524 to 776 of the family's 1533-position model. The record is from RNAcentral.